GACGAACGCUGGCGGCGUGCUUAACACAUGCAAGUCGAACGGAAAGGCCCUGCUUGCCGGGUACUCGAGUGGCGAACGGGUGAGUAACACGUGGGUGAUCUGCCCUGCACUUCGGGAUAAGCCUGGGAAACUGGGUCUAAUACCGGAUAGGAGCCAUUUUUAGUGUGAUGGUUGGAAAGUUUUUUCGGUGUAGGAUGAGCUCGCGGCCUAUCAGCUUGUUGGUGGGGUAAUGGCCUACCAAGGCGGCGACGGGUAGCCGGCCUGAGAGGGUGGACGGCCACAUUGGGACUGAGAUACGGCCCAGACGCCUACGGGAGGCAUCAGUGGGGAAUAUUGCACAAUGGGCGCAAGCCGGAUGCAGCGACGCCGCGUGGGGGAUGACGGCCUUCGGGUUGUAAACUCCUUUCGCUAGGGACGAAGCUUUUUGUGACGGUACCUAGAUAAGAAGCACCGGCUAACUACGUG
RNAcentral lists this ribosomal RNA (465 nucleotides) under uncultured bacterium. RNAcentral's name for it is "partial 16S ribosomal RNA". It matches the Rfam family "Bacterial small subunit ribosomal RNA", at positions 28 to 507 of the family's 1533-position model. The record is from RNAcentral.